UGCAGUCGAACGAGAUCCAUGAGAGCUUGCUCUCGGAAGAUCUAGUGGCGAACGGGUGAGUAACACGUGAGAAACCUGCCCUGGAGUGGGGAAUAACUCGGGGAAACUCGAGCUAAUACCGCAUACCCUCGGAUGGUCGCAUGGCCGACCGAGGAAAGAUUUAUCGCUCUAGGAGGGUCUCGCGGCCUAUCAGCUAGUUGGUGGGGUAACGGCCUACCAAGGCAACGACGGGUAGCUGGUUUGAGAGAACGAUCAGCCACACUGGGACUGAGACACGGCCCAGACUCCUACGGGAGGCAGCAGUGGGGAAUCUUGCGCAAUGGGCGAAAGCCUGACGCAGCAACGCCGCGUGCGGGAUGACGGCCUUCGUGGUUGUAAACCGCUUUCAGCAGGGACGAAAAUGACGGUACCUGCAGAAGAAGCCCCGGCUAACUACGUGCCAGCAGCCGCGGUAAUACGUAGGGGGCAAGCGUUGUCCGGAUUCAUUGGGCGUAAAGAGCUCGUAGGCGGUUCAGUAAGUCGGGUGUGAAAGCUCCGAGCUCAACUCGGAGAGGCCACCCGAUACUGCUGUGACUUGAGUCCAGUAGAGGAGCGUGGAACUCCUGGUGUAGCGGUGGAAUGCGCAGAUAUCAGGAAGAACACCUGCAGCGAAGGCGGCGCUCUGGGCUGGAACUGACGCUGAGGAGCG
RNAcentral lists this ribosomal RNA (688 nucleotides) under uncultured bacterium. RNAcentral's name for it is "bacterial SSU rRNA". It matches the Rfam family "Bacterial small subunit ribosomal RNA", at positions 56 to 755 of the family's 1533-position model. The record is from RNAcentral.